UGGGGAAUAUUGCACAAUGGGCGCAAGCCUGAUGCAGCCAUGCCGCGUGUAUGAAGAAGGCCUUCGGGUUGUAAAGUACUUUCAGUCGGGAGGAAGGUGGUAAGGUUAAUAACCUUAUCAAUUGACGUUACCGACAGAAGAAGCACCGGCUAACUCCGUGCCAGCAGCCGCGGUAAUACGGAGGGUGCAAGCGUUAAUCGGAAUUACUGGGCGUAAAGCGCACGCAGGCGGUUGAUUGAGUCAGAUGUGAAAUCCCCGGGCUUAACCCGGGGAUUGCAUCUGAUACUGGUCAGCUAGAGUCUUGUAGAGGGGGGUAGAAUUCCAUGUGUAGCGGUGAAAUGCGUAGAGAUGUGGAGGAAUACCGGUGGCGAAGGCGGCCCCCUGGACAAAGACUGACGCUCAGGUGCGAAAGCGUGGGGAGCAAACAGG
This 429-nucleotide ribosomal RNA is filed under the name Chloroflexota bacterium. Its description in RNAcentral is "Chloroflexi bacterium partial 16S ribosomal RNA". It matches the Rfam family "Bacterial small subunit ribosomal RNA", at positions 355 to 776 of the family's 1533-position model. The record is from RNAcentral. Lineage: Bacteria; Bacillati; Chloroflexota.